CGCAAUGGACGAAAGUCUGACGGAGCAACGCCGCGUGUAUGAAGAAGGUUUUCGGAUCGUAAAGUACUGUUGUUAGAGAAGAACAAGGAUAAGAGUAACUGCUUGUCCCUUGACGGUAUCUAACCAGAAAGCCACGGCUAACUACGUGCCAGCAGCCGCGGUAAUACGUAGGUGGCAAGCGUUGUCCGGAUUUAUUGGGCGUAAAGCGCGCGCAGGCGGUCUUUUAAG
RNAcentral lists this ribosomal RNA (228 nucleotides) under Escherichia coli. Its description in RNAcentral is "partial 16S ribosomal RNA". It matches the Rfam family "Bacterial small subunit ribosomal RNA", at positions 367 to 587 of the family's 1533-position model. The record is from RNAcentral. Lineage: Bacteria; Pseudomonadati; Pseudomonadota; Gammaproteobacteria; Enterobacterales; Enterobacteriaceae.